GUGCUAGCAACCGCGGUAAUGCGGAGGGUGCAAGCGUUAUCCGGAUUUAUUGGGUUUAAAGGGUCCGUAGGCGGAUGCGUAAGUCAGUGGUGAAAUCUCACAGCUCAACUGUGAAACUGCCAUUGAUACUGCGUGUCUUGAGUGAGGUUGAAGUAGCUGGAAUAAGUAGUGUAGCGGUGAAAUGCAUAGAUAUUACUUAGAACACCAAUUGCGAAGGCAGGUUACUAAGUCUCAACUGACGCUGAUGGACGAAAGCGUGGGGAGCGAACAGGAUUAGAUACCCUGGUAGUCCACGCUGUAAACGAUGCUAACUCGUUUUUGGGGAUUUAUCUUCAGAGACUAAGCGAAAGUGAUAAGUUAGCCACCUGGGGAGUACGAACGCAAGUUUGAAACUCAAAGGAAUUGACGGGGGCCCGCUCAAGCGGUGGAUUAUGUGGUUUAAUUCGAUGAUACGCGAGGAACCUUACCAAGGCUUAAAUGGGAAUUGAUCGGUUUAGAAAUAGACCUUCCUUCGGGCAAUUUUCAAGGUGCUGCAUGGUUGUCGUCAGCUCGUGCCGUGAGGUGUUAGGUUAAGUCCUGCAACGAGCGCAACCCCUGUCACUAGUUGCCAUCAUUCAGUUGGGGACUCUAGUGAGACUGCCUACGCAAGUAGAGAGGAAGGUGGGGAUGACGCCAAAUCAUCACGGCCCUUACGCCUUGGGCCACACACGUAAUACAAUGGCCGGUACAGAGGGCAGCUACACAGCGAUGUGAUGCAAAUCUCGAAAGCCGGUCUCAGUUCGGAUUGGAGUCUGCAACUCGACUCUAUGAAGCUGGAAUCGCUAGUAAUCGCGCAUCAGCCAUGGCGCGGUGAAUACGUUCCCGGGCCUUGUACACACCGCCCGUCAAGCCAUGGAAGUCUGGGGUACCUGAAGUCGGUGACCGUAAAAGGAGCUGCCUAGGGUAAAACAGGUAACUAGGGCUAAGUCGUAACAAGGUAACC
This 982-nucleotide ribosomal RNA is filed under the name uncultured Flavobacteriaceae bacterium. Its description in RNAcentral is "bacterial SSU rRNA". It matches the Rfam family "Bacterial small subunit ribosomal RNA", at positions 505 to 1501 of the family's 1533-position model. The record is from RNAcentral. Lineage: Bacteria; Pseudomonadati; Bacteroidota; Flavobacteriia; Flavobacteriales; Flavobacteriaceae.